GGGGUCUUCCAGCCUUGUGGCUGCUGGAUGGGUGCUCUCUACUAGUGCUGUGCAGAGGCUUUCACUGAGGCUGCUGUGAGCCUGUAGGGUUUCCCCCAGGCUACGGAGCCAGGUCGCUGGAACGCCACCCAGC
MicroRNA precursor from Equus caballus (horse), 133 nucleotides. Lineage: Eukaryota; Metazoa; Chordata; Mammalia; Perissodactyla; Equidae. The record is from Ensembl.